CAAAGGUUUGGUCCUGACCUUACUGUCAACUUUAGCUAUAUUUACACAUGCAAGUUUCCGCAACCCCGUGAGAAUGCCCUUUAGUUCCUACCAGGAAAAAAGGAGCAGAUAUCAGGCACAUCACUAGAUUGCCCAAGACGUCUUGCUAAGCCACACCCCCAAGGGAUUUCAGCAGUGAUAAAUAUUAAGCAAUAAGUGUAAACUUGACUUAGUUACAGCUAAGAGGUCCGGUAAAACUCGUGCCAGCCACCGCGGUUAUACGAGAGGUCCAAGUUGACAACCCCCCGGCGUAAAGAGUGGUUAAUUAUACAUUAUUACUAAAGUUAAAUGCCCCCAAAGCUGUUAUACGCAUCCGAGGGUAAGAAAGCCACCUACGAAAGUAACUUUAUAGUAUUGACGCCACUAAAGCUGUGAAACAAACUGGGAUUAGAUACCCCACUAUGCUCAGCCAUAAACCAUGACAGCCUACUACAAUCGCUGUCCGCCUGGGUACUACAAGCCUAGCUUAAAACCCAAAGGACUUGGCGGUGCUUAAGAUCCACCUAGAGGAGCCUGUUCUAGAACCGAUAACCCCCGUUAAACCUCACCCUUCCUAGCCCUAACCGCCUAUAUACCGCCGUCGUCAGCCUACCCUGUGAAGGCCCCAUAGUAAGCAUAAUUGGCCCACCCCAAAACGUCAGGUCGAGGUGUAGCACAUGGAAGGGGAAGAAAUGGGCUACAUUUUCUAAUCCCAGAAUACACGAAAAAUGGCCUGAAAAGUCUAUUAGAAGGAGGAUUUAGCAGUAAGGAAUGAAUAGAGUACAUACCUGAAAUUGGCCCUAAAGCGCGUACACACCGCCCGUCACUCUCCCCAAGCUGCACAACAACAUUUUUAAUGCCAACACUAAGCAAAGGGGAGGCAAGUCGUAACAUGGUAAGUGUACCGGAAGGUGCACUUGGAAAAAU
RNAcentral lists this non-coding RNA (945 nucleotides) under Arcos sp. KU 149. RNAcentral's name for it is "12S rRNA". It matches the Rfam family "Bacterial small subunit ribosomal RNA". The record is from RNAcentral. Lineage: Eukaryota; Metazoa; Chordata; Actinopteri; Blenniiformes; Gobiesocidae.